RNAcentral lists this microRNA precursor (57 nucleotides) under Cordylochernes scorpioides. The record is from RNAcentral. Lineage: Eukaryota; Metazoa; Arthropoda; Arachnida; Pseudoscorpiones; Chernetidae.
ACCUACAGCGCCAGCUGUCCAAGGCCAACGCUGAUGUCCAGCUCUGGCGCUCUAAGU